CCGAGUUUACAAACUCCCAAACCCUUUGUGAACCUUACCUAUCGUUGCUUCGGCGGGAUCGCCCCGGGUCGCCCCUUCACGGGGGCCUCCGGAACCAGGCGCCCGCCGGAGAACCCAAACUCUUGUUUUAUAUGGUUUUCUCCUCUGAGUGGAUUAUAAACAAAUAAAUCA
RNAcentral lists this unclassified non-coding RNA (171 nucleotides) under uncultured Ascomycota. RNAcentral describes it as "sequence contains ITS1". The record is from RNAcentral. Lineage: Eukaryota; Fungi; Ascomycota.